UACAGAGACUGCAAGCGUUAUUCGGAUUCACUGGGCGUAAAGGGUGCGCAGGCGGUUGUGUGUGUCAGGUGUGAAAGCCCGGGGCUUAACCCCGGAAUUGCGCCUGAAACUACAUGACUAGAGCAUUGGAGAGGGUAGCGGAAUUCACGGUGUAGCAGUGAAAUGCGUAGAUAUCGUGGAGGAACACCAGAGGCGAAGGCGGCUACCUGGACAAUUGCUGACGCUCAGGCACGGAAAGCGUGGGGAGCAAAAGGG
RNAcentral lists this ribosomal RNA (255 nucleotides) under uncultured bacterium. Its description in RNAcentral is "partial 16S ribosomal RNA". It matches the Rfam family "Bacterial small subunit ribosomal RNA", at positions 524 to 776 of the family's 1533-position model. The record is from RNAcentral.